This is a long non-coding RNA of Thalassophryne amazonica, 95 nucleotides long. RefSeq lists it as uncharacterized. NCBI's taxonomy places the organism in Eukaryota, Metazoa, Chordata, Actinopteri, Batrachoidiformes, Batrachoididae. The record is from RefSeq and is a predicted model, not a curated record. The transcript has 3 exons.
UGGACUGCGGUUGCAGCUGCAGUUAUCCCUGUUGCAUUGUGCAUUUUUUCCAACCACACAUUUCCCUUCCAGUCAAUUUUCCAUGAAUAUGCUUU